RNAcentral lists this long non-coding RNA (1481 nucleotides) under Cottoperca gobio. RNAcentral describes it as "lncRNA (ENSCGOG00000003671.1)". The record is from RNAcentral. Lineage: Eukaryota; Metazoa; Chordata; Actinopteri; Perciformes; Bovichtidae.
UGGUGUUUUCUUUUGGGUGAACUCAAUGUGUUUUUGGCUUUUGUACCACCAAAUCAAUUCUGUGCAUGACAUUUACAAGUUGAGGCGCCUGUGUUACUGAUACUGGACACUUCUCAACUAUUGACUAAUUCUGACUGCUUCAUGUUUACGCUUCCUUACAAGCUACAGAAUGAUGAGUCAUGUACAAAAAUAAUCCUUCUUUGUGUUGACAUCAAAAGACAAAGGCGACGAAAGCUUUUAAAGAACAGGGAAGACGUCGAGGGGAGCAGGAAGGUUUGCAGGCAGCAUUUCGAUUUCCACCAUCUUCAAUUCAUCCUUAACAGCAGUACGUUGUUGCAUGUUUCUCUGAAGGUCUGAUCUUCACUGAUUUAACUGCAUGUGAUGGCCUGGCCACCCGGGACGCAAGACAUCCUGGCCCCACACAGACGUCCUCUUGUGCAGAGGUGGUUUUACCCAAACGUUCCCGUUCCCCAUAUAUUCUUCCCCUUCACUUAUUGACACUACCAGAUUUGACAGUGAGCCUAACACACAUACACACUGCCCCCCCCCAUACACUAUGUCUCUUAGUUAUAUGUGAAUAUGUUUGAGGAUUUGAACAAAAUAAAAUAAAAUAAUUUUUGAGAAUUCUAGGAGCCAAUACACUAAUGUAGGUGUCUGCAACCUGCGGCUCUUUAACACCUCUGUAGUGGCUCCCUGUAGCUUUCACACACAAAAAAACAUGGAACUAAAUAUUUAUUGUUAUGUAUUUGUUGCACAGUGGACAAUCUUUCUAAGGUGAUAUUGAGACACUGAUAUGGGGGGUGGGGGACAUUUGUGAGGCUGCUGUGAAUUGUUUAAAAGCCAAAUAAAUUAACACCAUCACCAUGUGGAUGAAAACACACUGAAACGGACAUAAUUAGGUACAAACUGGCCUAUUUUUUCAUGUUUACUCAUUGUAAGCUAUUAGGCUGCAGCUAUAUGGUUUCUUUGUUUCAAACUGGGAUAAAUAUAUUUUUUUUUCAUUUCAUUUUUAUAUUGUAUUUUUUUAUUAUCUUGUGUAUUUUUAUAUUACAUUAAUUUCCUUUUUAUUUGAGUCAACAAAUAUGGGGAGGACUCAAAUAGUCCUGCAUAGUUCUGUGUUUCUCUCUUUUCAAAGUAGGCCUGAACAUGCCACUGUAUUUUUUCCUUCUCUUCAAAAGAUUUUGGUGUUUUCCUUUGUUAAAGCAGGUAAAAUAAAUAAAUAUAUAUAGAAAACUUUUAAGCUGUGGUAUCAAAUACGUUUUGCAGCUCCAGAUACAUUUUAUUUGGUGGAAGAGGGGCAAAAUGGCUCUUUUGAUAGAAAAGGUUACCUACCCCUGCACUAAUGAAUGGCUAAUGAAGAGAAAUGUUUUUAUUUAAGCAAAACCAGGUCACACUACAUGUUUUUCUACCGGUUUGGUUUAUAAUAUAUAUUUCAUGCUGUAAUGGUGUGUGUGUUGACUGUUGCAUAUAAGAGUCCCCUU